ACGCUCGACACCUACGGGAAGCAGCAGUGGGGAAUAUUGCACAAUGGGGGAAACCCUGAUGCAGCGACGCCGCGUGAGUGAAGAAGUAUUUCGGUAUGUAAAGCUCUAUCAGCAGGGAAGAAGAUGACGGUACCUGAGUAAGAAGCCCCGGCUAACUACGUACCAGCAGCCGCGGUAAUCUGAGCGGGCUGGCAAGGC
RNAcentral lists this ribosomal RNA (198 nucleotides) under uncultured bacterium. RNAcentral describes it as "partial 16S ribosomal RNA". It matches the Rfam family "Bacterial small subunit ribosomal RNA", at positions 326 to 539 of the family's 1533-position model. The record is from RNAcentral.